GCAAGUCGAGGGGUAACAGGGAGUGCUUGCACUCUGCUGACGACCGGCGCACGGGUGCGUAACGCGUAUGCAACCUACCUUCUACAGGGGGAUAGUCAAUAGAAAUGUUGAAUAAUACCCUAUACGAUCUUUGAAUAGCAUUAUUUAAAGAAGAAAGUUCCGGCGGUAGAAGAUGGGCAUGCGUCCUAUUAGUUAGUUGGUGAGGUAGUGGCUCACCAAGGCGACGACGGGUAGCCGGCCUGAGAGGGCGACC
RNAcentral lists this ribosomal RNA (253 nucleotides) under uncultured bacterium. Its description in RNAcentral is "partial 16S ribosomal RNA". It matches the Rfam family "Bacterial small subunit ribosomal RNA", at positions 57 to 305 of the family's 1533-position model. The record is from RNAcentral.